AGAUUAAAGUUAUUAAAAAUAAAAUUAUCCCAGAAAAAUAAUUAAAAUGGCCUUAUUACAACCCAAAACCAAACAAUAAUAUUAAUAAGAUAAAACUUAUAAAGAAAUAAAUCAGCUACUUAUUGCAAUUAAAAGAAACAGAAACAGUAGUGUGGCCAUCUCCGAGUCCCUCGCAGCUCCAAACCAUCUAAUCUUAGGGAUUACUUGCACAAUUAGAAACGGGGUGAGUUUACGAAAACUCAGUGUGUAAUCCCAAUAACAAACAAACAGUGAAAACACAGUAUCAGUACAAUCUGGGUCAAAGCCCUAUUCAGUCUUGACAUAUACUGGGCCGAAGCCUUUCGUUUAAUGAUUACUGGGCCGAAGCCUUUUCAUAAAUCAUAUCACUGGGCCAAAGCCUUUUCAUAAAUCAUUUCACUGGGCUGAAGCCUUUACUGUAAACGGUAUGGCCUAUAGGCCCAUUUCAAUAUCACAUGUAAUGUCAAUGGAUGUAUGCAAGCCCAUUUCAAUAUCACAUGAAAUACCAAUGAAUGUAUGCAAGCCCAUUUGGGGAGACUACUCAACCCACCAUCCGCUACUCUCCACCCGUACCAACCAACACACCAUGUGGGGAAUAACUCAACCCACCCAACCAACACACCACUGGCAGCAUAGCUGCUUUAUCAUAUAUCUGGAGGCCUAGCCUCUUUAAUAACUGGGGCAAAGCCCUUUUCGGUAAACUGGGGCAUAAACCCUUUUCAAUAAACUGGGGCAUAAGCCUUUUUCAAUAAACUGGGGCAUAAGCCCUUUUCGGUAAACUGGGGCAUAAGCCCUUUUGCACUUCCUCCAUCCAUAUAAAAAACCAACCCAAUGCAACAUGUCAUGUAUGCAGAAUGUCAUACCCAUAUUUGAAUUAAACAAUCACAGUCAAGUCAUUCAUAUCACCAACAUAUAUUCACAAUCAAAUCCGUCAACCACACAGUCCAAGUCAGUCACUUGCCCACAAAGGCACAACAGUCAUUUUUCACAUUAUAAGGGUAUUGUCGUAAUUUUACCAAAUAUCAGGGUUUUCCAUGUUCAUUACAAUUAUCAAUAUUUCCGAGUGUUUAAACAAUGAUCUUUAACCCACUUUAUCAAAUUCGGGCUUUUGGGCCCAAAACCCCUAAUGGGCCCUACGAAUGCUGAUUUAGCCUACUUCACCCAAAUUUUACAACAAUACUAACCGUGUUAACGUGCAACUUUUCCAAAUUCCAUUUUCUAUCAAUUCUACCCAAAUGGGUUCGAAAGCCCAUUGGGCCCAAUUUCAGCCCAUUGAGGACCAACUUGCCAUCGUGCACAAAAUUGAGUUCUUACCUGUUCCAUCGAUCCAAACACCGAUCUUAUCGUAUUUAUCGCAUCUAUACCCAAACGCAACAUUACAAGUUCUCAAAAUAUCGGUAUUUUAGCAUUCCGGCUUCUCAGCAAAUAUUAAUCUAAGCUAUUACGAGGGUUAGUACACACCUGUUACGGGUUGAAGUUGAAACGUUUCCAAAAUCAAUCGCCUACGGUAACCACCACCUGUCACUCAAACUUAACUAAUCCAAUAUCAAUAUAUGUAAAUCCUAAGCACAUCAGUCAUACGGAACAUAAGGGCAUAUUCGUCAUUUUACCAUACAGGGGUAUUACGUUCACUUUACCCUACAGGGGCUUUACGGUCACUUUACCCUACAGGGGCUUUACGGUCUUUUUACCUAAUAGGGGUAUUUUAGUCAUUUCAUCCUACAAAGGUGUUUUGGUACAUCUACAAACCAAAGGUAUUUCAGUAAUUUUGUAAACCAAUGGUAUUUCUAUAAUUUUUAUAAAGUCAAGGGUAUUUCUGUAACUUUGUAAAUCAGGGGUAUUUUGGUAAUUUUACAAAUUGAGGGUAUUUCAGUAAUUUCACAAACCAAGGGUAUUUUGGUAAUUUUACAAACCAAGGGUAUUUUAGUAAUUUUGUAAAUCGAGGGUAAAACAGUAAUUCUGUAAAUCAAGGGUAAAACAGUAAUUCUAUAAAUCGAGGGUAAAACGGUAAUUCUGUAAAUUGAGGGUAAAACGGUAAUUCUAUAAGUCGAGGGUAAAACGAUAAUUAUAUAAAUCAGGGGUAAAACAGUAAUUAUGUAAAUCAGGGGGUACUUUGGUAAUUUUACAAGUCGAAGGUAUUUCAAUAAUUUUACAAAUCGAGGGUAUUUCAGUAUUUUUACAAACUGAGGGUAUUUUGGUAAUUUUAGUAAACUAAAGUAUUCUAAACAGGAAUAACAAUACGGAUGGGCCUAAAGCCUAUUCUCGGCCCAAAUGGGCCCACACGCUCGUGUGGCCCUUUUAGCCCAAAUCUAGCCACAGAUAUGAGAUUCACCUAGCCUAGUCUAAUAUUUACUACACAAUCAAACAACUUAUCCAAUUGGGCCCACAUGGCCCCUUUCGGCCCGAAGUAGCCAUCCUAUAGCUAGAGUAGUGAGAAAUACACACCUGAUAGGAGACUGGAGUUAAUCCACGCUCCGAGCACUCUUAGCCGACCGCCAACCCAAACGAGCACGCCAUACAGCGAAAGGGAUCAGCCAAGAAAGGUAC
Molecule: long non-coding RNA, 2565 nt
Filed under: Gossypium barbadense (sea-island cotton)
Lineage: Eukaryota; Viridiplantae; Streptophyta; Magnoliopsida; Malvales; Malvaceae
Description: long non-coding RNA (GBAR_LNC001484)
Source: RNAcentral